This 1033-nucleotide long non-coding RNA is filed under the name Agrilus planipennis (emerald ash borer). Its description in RNAcentral is "uncharacterized LOC112906623, transcript variant X7". Lineage: Eukaryota; Metazoa; Arthropoda; Insecta; Coleoptera; Buprestidae. The record is from RNAcentral.
CACACGUUCUAUGAAAGACGAAGGGAGAACGGAUUGGGGGUGAAAUCUUAAACGAUAGAAAGUGUAUUCUAAAUUGCAUAAAGCUACGAAGAAAACUUGCCAAAUCGGCGAUGGGACUUCACUUUUACAAUUGUACUAUUUGACCAUCUAUGUAACUUCGAGACCAAAGUGCCACGUAUGGAUUGAAACUUAUUACUCUUGGACUUACGAUGCUAUUUAGGACAGGCAGCUGCUCGUAAUACACCAUAAAUGGCCACCGAAAUAUCGAUGAUAAACGAGAGGCGGAGAGGACAUGGAAGUUCGUUUUGAUGCUAGCGUAAAAGAAGUUGUUCGAUGUGAUGUUCUUUCUAUAAAUAAUUUUGCAGAUAAUUGAGGAACAUUAUAAAAAUUCUGGAUGCCAUUAAGUUACAGACCGUUGGUUACAUCAGUCCUCCUUCGUUUCAGGGAGUAGCUGUACCUAUAGCCCAAGGGAAUGCACGAAAGUGAUUUUUUUUCCAUUGAGAAUGAAGACAGUAUGUUUUUGCUGAAGGAAGGAUUCAUGACAAUGAAUUGACUGCCCAACAUAUGAGAAGGGGGAGACUGCUGGAAAUUAAUUUGGAAACCGCUGAAACAAUAGAUUGCAGUGGCAUCUCUCCUGGCUUUGGCUUGCUCGUUACACAUUUAGACUUUAGAAUAUUAGUUUCUGCAAUUAAUUAAGAUUAUCCAAUAAAUGAGAGAAUUAAUGUUCAGCUUGGUCUUACUGAAACAACCAAAGUCUACAUGGGUGUGGUCUAUUGUGAACUGUUUUCUUGAUUUGCUGUUUUCGUCUUCGCCUUGCAACAUUAUGCAGUUAAUUUUCAACCGAAGAGAGAAGAGCAACUGGAGAUUUAUUUGAAUUCCACUGAAACAACAAAUUUUCUGCUAUGGAUUUGAAUUUGGUUUGCUCUUCACAUCUGCAAACUUUGAAAUGUUACAGUUACAGUUAAUGAAGGUGAGAAUACUUGAUAUAAUUAAUUUUAAUUGCUUUUUAUUAAUCUGUUUGCCACCGUAUCUG